Molecule: small nuclear RNA, 107 nt
Filed under: Rhinolophus ferrumequinum (greater horseshoe bat)
Lineage: Eukaryota; Metazoa; Chordata; Mammalia; Chiroptera; Rhinolophidae
Source: RNAcentral
GUGCUCGCUUUGGCAGCACAUAUACUAAAACAGGACCAAUGCAGAGAAGACUAGCAUGGCCCCUGCGCUAGGAUGACAUGCAAAUUCGUGAAGCGUUCCAUAUUUUU